GACGAACGCUGGCGGCGUGCUUAACACAUGCAAGUCGAACGGAAAGGCCCUGCUUUUGUGCGGUGCUCGAGUGGCGAACGGGUGAGUAACACGUGAGUAACCUGCCCUUGACUUUGGGAUAACUUCAGGAAACUGGGGCUAAUACCGGCUAGGAGCUCCUGCUGCAUGGUGGGGGUUGGAAAGUUUCGGCGGUUGGGGAUGGACUCGCGGCUUAUCAGCUUGUUGGUGGGGUAGUGGCUUACCAAGGCUUUGACGGGUAGCCGGCCUGAGAGGGUGACCGGCCACAUUGGGACUGAGAUACGGCCCAGACUCCUACGGGAGGCAGCAGUGGGGAAGAGUGCACAAUGGGCGGAAGCCUGAUGCAGCAACGCCGCGUGCGGGAUGACGGCCUUCGGGUUGGAAACCGAUUUCGCCUGUGACGAAGCGUGAGUGACGGUAAUGGGUAAAGAAGCACCGGCUAACUACGUG
Molecule: ribosomal RNA, 468 nt
Filed under: uncultured bacterium
Lineage: Bacteria
Description: partial 16S ribosomal RNA
Rfam family: Bacterial small subunit ribosomal RNA
Source: RNAcentral